Trichonephila clavata is the source of this 73-nucleotide non-coding RNA. NCBI's taxonomy places the organism in Eukaryota, Metazoa, Arthropoda, Arachnida, Araneae, Nephilidae. The record is from the annotation of a GenBank genome assembly.
GUUCCUGUAGCGCAACGGAUAGCGCGUUGGACUUCUAAUCCAAAUGUUGUGGGUUCGAAUCCUACCUGGGAUA